This is a non-coding RNA of Rattus norvegicus (Norway rat), 817 nucleotides long. NCBI's taxonomy places the organism in Eukaryota, Metazoa, Chordata, Mammalia, Rodentia, Muridae. The record is from RefSeq and is a predicted model, not a curated record.
CUGUCUGCAGAAGCAAGGCAGAUGUUCCGGUCUUCCCUGGCCACUGGCAGGGUCUGAGGCAAUGGAGACCCUUGUGAUGGGAAGAACAGCAAAGAUGGAGACCUGUUCCUCAGACAUCUCUCCGCUAACAGAGUUGUCCCUUCUCCCAUGAUGAUCAGCUGCUCCUCAAUGGUCUUCAUCUUUGACUCAUAAAAAUGAAUGAAGUCACAGAUGACUCCUGCUCCAGUGUUUCCAAUGACCAGGGUAGCAUCUCAGAGACCACCAGACAAACCAUCUGAAGACAGAGAGCGUGCGUGUCAACAGUAAAUGUCCCAAGAGGAAGAAUAAGCCAGUGAUUUAGGAAGACAACAGGGACAUCAUACUGCAGUUGGUAAAAAAUAUUUGCCAACUAUAUUACAUGCUAAUUCUCAGCUUGUCAAUGCAGAAUCCAAAUGCCCUUUGCCACGGGAGAUAAAAGACAUUCCUGUAAUAAGAGGCAGUAUGAUAUUGUUUUGCCAUGCUAAGAACUUUUUAGGCUUUUUAUUACCAGUCCCAGGAAUGACUACUGGGUGUCUUAGGGUUUACCUCUGUGAACAGGCACCAUGACCAAGACAACUCUUAUAAGGACAACAUUUAAUUGGGGCUGGCUUACAGAUUCAGAGGUUCAGCCAAUAAUCAUCAAGGUGGGAGCAGGGCAGCGCUAGGCAAGCAGGCAGGCAUGGCGCGGGCAGAGCUGAGAGUUCUACAUCUUCAUCUGAAGGCUGCUAGUGGAACACUUGCUUUCAGGCUGCUAGGAGGAGGGUCUUAAAGCCCACACCCACAGUAGCACACCUACUCC